RNA transcript from Pan troglodytes (chimpanzee), 8545 nucleotides. It is a transcript of the gene named zinc finger protein 646, with no coding region annotated. The record is from RefSeq and is a predicted model, not a curated record. The transcript has 2 exons. Lineage: Eukaryota; Metazoa; Chordata; Mammalia; Primates; Hominidae.
CCCCAACUGACGCGCCCGCGGCGGGAAGGAGAGGGGGCCGCCGGUGCGAGGUAGGCGUCUUGAGAGGAAAUUGGCAGACGAGAUGAGUGAGGUCAGAGGACUUCAUUGGUGGUUGACUAGGGGAGGGGACUUUUGAUCAAAGGGGCUUUGUGAGGUGAGAAUUCCGGGGGCAGGUUCAGUGAAGGGGUUUACGGUCGGAAACAGUUGUACUGGGGUCCCAUGGGAAGAAGAGUCAGAGUUGGAGAAGGACAAGACGAUGUAGGAGGCAUGAGAGAGCAAGGGCUUUGGGAUGAAGACCGCCUCAGUCAGGGGGUUUGCUGUUACGUGAACUAGAAUAACAGGCAUUGCCGUGUGUUCUGAGGAUUGAGUAACACAAUGAAUAUAGUUAGCACAGUGCCUGGCACAUGGUAAUAUAAUACUCUUCAUGAGUUGCUGUCAUCAUCAGUAUUAAGAGAGGAGGCAGAAGAAAAAAAUGAGAAAGACUGGUGAGGGUAAGAUCAGGAGGCAUGGGAGAGAAAAGGUAGGCAAUGAAGUGACAUUACAACCUGGUAUUGAUGUUAUUCCCAAGAUGGAAGAUAGUUUGAGUUCAAGGGAAGUAGAUAAAAGAAGUCGCUAAGAGAGUCUUUUGGGGUUUUUUGUUUUUUUGAGAUGGAGUCUCGCUCUGUCACCCAGGCUGGAGUGCUGUGGUGGGAUCUCAGCUCACUGCAACCUCCACCUCCCAGGUUCAAGCAGUUCUUCAGCCUCAGCCUCCUGAGUAGCUAGAAUUACAGGUGCCCACCACCACGCCCGGCUAAUUUUUGUAUUUUUAGUAGAGACAGGGUUUCACCAUGUUGGCCAGGCUGGUCUUGAACUCCUGAACUCAGGUGAUCCACCAGCCUCGGCCUCCCAAAGUGCUGGGAUUACAGGCGUGAGCCACCACGCCUGGCCCAGUUAAGAGAGUCUUAACUCUCUUAACUCUCUUGUCACAAGGAAAAGAGACCUUGUGACACUGAAAUGACUCGGGGUGGUGGGGGAACAAGCCAGCCCUUUCCCUGAAGGAGGCCUCUAACCUCUCCUCUCAGGUCCUCAGCUAUUAACUGGAGGAAACAGCUGCUUUUUCAGUGCUUCUCAGCUACUCUGUUUGGCUGAGAGAUGAAGUAGGAAGAUUUGGACUUCUCUUAUUGAAAGGCCUAGAGAAGGUUUUGGUGUCCUUUUAAGAUGUCACAGAAAAUUUUUGUUUCAGGAUUGUAGGGAGCAGAUUCCUACUGUUCUUAAAGGACAGUAAUGCCUUUUGAGUCUGGUCUGAAGAACAUAACAGGUCUGUGAUCAGAAGUAGGUUGCAUCUCUCUCAACUUUAAUUUCCUUAGCUAUACCUGUAGGGAUGACUUAAGCCUAGGGGAGCUCCUAUAUUUGGGAAGCUUGUGCACAGGGAAGCCUUAAAUGAUGGUGCCUGCAGAUUGGAUCUAGUAGAAAUUAGGUCCUUGGGCAUGGAUGCUUGGGGAACCUCUCAGUGACCUCAGGUGAACUUGUUGCUCGUAGAGCCAAGAGGCGAAGUUAAUUCAGGCCUUCCUUUUGACCACUGCCCCCUCUUCCUAGGCCUUGGCCCCUCCACCAGAGGAAGGUGCUGCCACGUGUCUGCUCCUUCUGAACCUCCAGGUUUCUGCUACGUUGCCCCAUGGAGGACACACCCCCCUCACUCAGCUGCUCCGACUGUCAGCGCCACUUUCCCAGCCUCCCAGAGCUCUCUCGGCACCGAGAACUGCUCCAUCCAUCUCCCAACCAGGACAGUGAGGAGGCUGACAGCAUCCCUCGGCCCUACCGUUGUCAGCAGUGUGGGCGGGGCUACCGUCACCCCGGGAGCCUGGUUAACCAUCGUCGGACCCACGAGACUGGCCUUUUCCCCUGUACCACCUGUGGCAAGGACUUCUCCAAUCCCAUGGCUCUCAAGAGCCAUAUGAGGACACAUGCUCCUGAGGGCCGCCGCAGGCACAGGCCCCCACGCCCCAAGGAAGCCACUCCACACCUCCAGGGUGAGACGGUGUCCACUGACUCCUGGGGCCAAAGGCUUGGCUCUAGUGAAGGCUGGGAAAACCAGACAAAACAUACAGAAGAGACACCUGACUGUGAAUCUGUACCUGACCCCAGGGCAGCUUCGGGUACGUGGGAAGAUCUGCCCACCAGACAAAGAGAAGGCUUGGCAAGCCACCCAGGUCCUGAGGAUGGUGCAGACGGCUGGGGACCCUCCACUAACUCUGCCAGAGCCCCUCCUCUCCCCAUCCCAGCCAGCAGCCUUCUUAGCAACUUGGAACAGUAUCUGGCUGAAUCAGUAGUGAACUUCACAGGGGGCCAGGAGCCCACCCAGUCCCCUCCUGCUGAGGAGGAGCGGCGGUACAAAUGUAGUCAGUGUGGCAAGACCUACAAGCACGCCGGGAGCCUCACCAACCACCGCCAGAGCCACACGCUGGGCAUCUACCCCUGUGCCAUCUGUUUCAAGGAGUUCUCUAACCUCAUGGCUCUGAAGAACCACUCUCGACUGCAUGCCCAGUAUCGGCCUUACCACUGUCCCCACUGCCCCCGUGUCUUCCGGCUCCCCCGGGAGCUGCUGGAACACCAGCAGUCCCAUGAGGGUGAAAGGCAGGAGCCACACUGGGAGGAGAAAGGGAUGCCCACCACCAAUGGGCACACAGAUGAGAGCAGCCAGGACCAGCUCCCCAGUGCACGGAUGCUGAAUGGCUCUGCGGAGCUCAGCACCUCUGGGGAGCUGGAGGACAGUGGCCUGGAGGAAUACCGGCCUUUCCGCUGUGGGGACUGUGGCCGUACUUACCGCCAUGCUGGGAGCCUCAUCAACCAUCGAAAGAGCCACCAGACAGGUGUCUACCCCUGCUCACUCUGUUCUAAGCAGCUGUUCAAUGCGGCUGCCCUCAAAAACCAUGUGCGGGCUCAUCACAGGCCCAGGCAAGGAGUUGGGGAAAAUGGGCAGCCAUCAGUCCCACCAGCUCCCCUGCUGCUGGCUGAGACCACCCACAAAGAGGAAGAGGACCCCACCACCACCCUGGACCAUCGGCCCUAUAAGUGCAGUGAGUGUGGUCGUGCUUACCGCCACCGGGGGAGCCUGGUGAACCAUCGCCACAGCCAUCGGACUGGAGAGUACCAGUGCUCACUCUGUCCCCGCAAGUACCCCAAUCUCAUGGCCCUGCGCAACCACGUGCGGGUACAUUGCAAGGCUGCUCGCCGAAGUGCAGACAUCGGGGCUGAGGGUGCCCCCAGCCACCUCAAGGUAGAACUCCCGCCUGACCCAGUGGAGGCAGAGGCAGCCCCGCACACAGAUCAGGACCAUGUGUGCAAACAUGAAGAAGAGGCCACGGACAUCACCCCAGCAGCAGACAAGACAGCAGCACAUAUCUGUAGCAUCUGUGGGCUGCUCUUUGAAGACCCUGAGAGCCUUGAACGUCAUGGCCUGACUCAUGGGGCAGGGGAAAAGGAAAAUAGCAGAACAGAGACCACAAUGUCACCUCCUAGGGCCUUUGCCUGCCGAGACUGUGGAAAGAGCUAUCGCCACUCAGGCAGCCUUAUCAACCACAGGCAGACCCACCAGACAGGAGACUUCAGUUGUGGGGCCUGUGCCAAGCACUUCCACACCAUGGCUGCCAUGAAGAACCACUUGCGCCGGCACAGUCGGCGGCGGAGCAGGCGGCAUCGGAAGCGGGCUGGCGGUGCCAGCGGUGGGAGAGAAGCCAAACUCCUGGCAGCGGAGAGCUGGACCCGGGAGCUAGAAGACAAUGAAGGCCUGGAGUCUCCCCAAGACCCUUCAGGGGAAAGUCCUCAUGGGGCUGAAGGCAACCUGGAAAGUGAUGGGGACUGUUUGCAGGCUGAAUCUGAAGGGGACAAAUGUGGGCUUGAGAGGGAUGAGACCCAUUUCCAGGGUGAUAAAGAGAGUGGAGGCACUGGGGAAGGACUGAAAAGGAAGGAUGCCAGUUUACUUGACAACUUGGACAUCCCAGGUGAGGAAGGUGGUGGCACUCACUUCUGCGAUAGCCUCACUGGGGUGGAUGAAGACCAGAAGCCAGCCACUGGCCAACCCAACUCCUCUUCCCACUCUGCCAAUGCUGUCACUGGCUGGCAGGCUGGGGCCGCUCACACAUGCUCUGACUGUGGGCAUUCUUUCCCCCAUGCCACUGGCCUGCUGAGCCACAGGCCCUGCCACCCACCAGGCAUCUAUCAGUGCUCCCUCUGCCCGAAGGAGUUUGACUCUCUGCCUGCCCUCCGCAGCCACUUCCAGAACCAUAGGCCUGGGGAGGCGACCUCAGCACAGCCUUUCCUCUGCUGCCUCUGCGGCAUGAUCUUCCCUGGGCGGGCUGGCUACAGGCUUCACCGGCGCCAGGCCCACAGCUCCUCUGGCAUGACUGAGGGCUCAGAGGAGGAGGGGGAAGAGGAAGGAGUGGCAGAGGCAGCCCCUGCACGCAGUCCACCACUGCAGCUCUCGGAAGCAGAGCUGCUGAAUCAGCUGCAGCGGGAGGUGGAAGCGCUGGACAGUGCAGGGUAUGGUCACAUCUGUGGCUGCUGUGGUCAGACCUACGAUGACCUGGGGAGCCUGGAGCGUCACCACCAAAGUCAGAGUUCUGGGACUACUGCAGACAAGGCUCCCAGCCCCUUGGGAGUGGCAGGUGAUGCCAUGGAGAUGGUCGUGGACAGUGUCUUGGAGGACAUAGUGAAUUCUGUCUCUGGAGAGGGUGGAGAUGCCAAGUCUCAAGAGGGAGCAGGCACCCCCUUGGGAGACAGCCUCUGCAUCCAGGGUGGGGAAAGUUUGCUGGAGGCUCAGCCCCGCCCCUUCCGCUGCAACCAGUGUGGCAAGACCUAUCGCCAUGGGGGCAGCCUGGUGAACCACCGCAAGAUCCACCAGACUGGAGACUUUCUCUGCCCUGUCUGCUCCCGCUGCUACCCCAACCUGGCUGCCUACCGUAAUCAUCUGCGGAACCACCCUCGCUGCAAAGGCUCUGAGCCCCAGGUUGGGCCCAUCCCAGAGGCAGCAGGUAGCAGUGAGCCGCAGGUUGGGCCCAUCCCAGAAGGAGGCAGCAACAAGCCCCAGCACAUGGCAGAGGAGGGGCCGGGGCAAGCAGAAGUCGAGAAGCUCCAGGAAGAACUUAAAGUGGAGCCCCUGGAGGAAGUGGCCAGGGUGAAAGAAGAGGUGUGGGAGGAGACCACUGUGAAGGGGGAGGAGAUAGAGCCCAGGCUGGAGACCGCCGAGAAGGGCUGCCAGACUGAAGCCAGCUCUGAGCGGCCCUUCAGCUGCGAGUUGUGUGGCCGAUCCUACAAGCACGCCGGCAGCCUCAUCAACCACCGGCAGAGCCACCAGACCGGCCACUUUGGCUGUCAGGCCUGCUCCAAGGGCUUCUCAAACCUCAUGUCCCUCAAGAACCACCGGCGCAUCCAUGCAGAUCCCCGACGUUUCCGCUGCAGCGAGUGUGGGAAGGCCUUCCGCCUGCGGAAACAGCUGGCCAGCCACCAGCGGGUCCACAUGGAACGGCGUGGGGGUGGGGGCACCCGAAAGGCGACUCGGGAAGAUCGGCCCUUCCGCUGUGGGCAGUGCGGGCGGACCUAUCGCCACGCCGGCAGCCUCCUGAACCACCGGCGCAGCCACGAGACGGGCCAGUACAGCUGCCCCACCUGCCCCAAGACCUACUCCAACCGCAUGGCCCUGAAGGACCACCAGAGGCUGCACUCAGAGAAUCGGCGGCGACGGGCUGGACGGUCCAGGCGCACAGCUGUGCGUUGCGCCCUCUGUGGCCGCAGCUUCCCUGGCCGGGGAUCUUUGGAGCGGCACCUGCGGGAGCAUGAGGAGACAGAAAGGGAGCCAGCCAAUGGCCAGGGAGGCCUGGAUGGCACAGCGGCCAGUGAGGCGAACCUGGCUGGCAGCCAGGGACUAGAGACCCAAUUGGGUGGUGCUGAGCCAGUACCCCACUUGGAGGAUGGAGUCCCAAGGCCAGGGGAGCGCAGUCAGAGCCCCAUCAGGGCAGCAAGCUCAGAAGCCCCAGAGCCACUGUCCUGGGGUGCAGGGAAGGCAGGUGGGUGGCCGGUAGGUGGGGGACUGGGGAAUCAUAGUGGAGGCUGGGUUCCUCAGUUCCUAACUAGGUCAGAGGAGCCAGAGGACAGUGUCCACAGGAGUCCUUGCCACGCUAGUGACUGCCAGCUCAAUGGACCUAAUCUGAGUCACAUGGAUAGCUGGGACAACAGAGACAACAGCUCUCAGCUGCAGCCAGGGAGCCACUCCUCCUCUUGCAGCCAGUGUGGCAAGACUUACUGCCAGUCGGGCAGCCUCUUGAACCACAACACCCACAAGACAGACCGACACUAUUGCCUGCUCUGCUCCAAGGAGUUCUUAAAUCCUGUGGCCACAAAGAGCCACAGCCACAACCACAUAGACGCCCAGACCUUUGCCUGUCCUGACUGUGGCAAAGCCUUUGAGUCCCACCAGGAACUGGCCAGCCACCUGCAGGCUCAUGCCCGGGGCCACAGCCAGGUGCCAGCCCAGAUGGAGGAGGCCAGAGAUCCCAAAGCCGGGACUGGGGAGGACCAGGUGGUUCUCCCUGGUCAAGGGAAAGCCCGGGAGGCCCCAUCAGAAACCCCCAGAGACCCAGGAGAGAGUGUGGAGAGAGCCAGGGGAGGACAAGCGGUGACGUCCAUGGCGGCUGAGGACAAGGAGCGGCCCUUCCGCUGCACCCAGUGCGGGCGCUCCUACCGCCAUGCUGGCAGCCUGCUGAACCACCAGAAGGCCCACACCACAGGGUUAUACCCGUGCUCCCUCUGUCCCAAACUUCUCCCUAACCUGCUGUCUCUUAAGAACCACAGCAGGACCCACACGGACCCCAAGCGCCACUGCUGCAGCAUCUGUGGCAAGGCCUUUCGGACAGCUGCCCGGCUGGAGGGCCACGGGCGGGUCCAUGCACCCCGGGAGGGGCCUUUCACCUGCCCCCAUUGUCCCCGCCACUUCCGCCGCCGAAUCAGCUUCGUGCAGCACCAGCAGCAGCACCAGGAGGAGUGGACGGUGGCCGGCUCCGGUAGGGGGCAUGAAGGGUCCCAGGAGGAGGUGGGCACACAGUGGAGGGGGAAGUCCAGCCCCAAAGUGGGUGGGGGAGCAAGGAGUGAGAGGAGAGAGCCCCGGGGAUUCUAAGAGGUGGGCGGGGGCUUGGCUAUGGGGUGAGAGAAGUAGUUUGAGGAUGUGCUGAGCUGAGCACCCGCAGGUCAGGUAUAACAAAUAGGGUGGGUUGGGCAGCACGUGGGGGCGUGGUCAGGCCGAGGCUGCUACCUGGGCUCCUCCAUUACACUGUAGCCAGAAUGGAAUGGUCUUUCUGUUCAGGGGAAGGUCACUGGGUACCCCCUGGCUGCUGUGUCUGGAAACCCUCCUGAGUCAGCCAGUAAAGUAAUGACUUCCAGAGAAAAAGAGGAAGCCAUUGGUUUGGUCUAGGUUCCAUUCUUUCCUGGAGCAGGCCGGGUGCCAGGGAACAAGGGAUGGGGCAUGGGCUCCACGGCUUCCCUGCUGACUUGGCCACGGAAACUGGUUCACUGGUUGGCACCCUACUCCCUGUCCCUCUUUCCCUGCGCCUUGUCUCUGCUGCUCCUCUCCUUGGAAACUAGACCUCUGGUCCUUCCCUGUCAGUGUUGCUCCCAUCUCUUCUCUAACCUUUAUUCAGCCCCUUCUCCCUCUGCUGCCAACGGCCUUUUUAGGAUCCAACCAAACCACCCUUUCUACCUGCGCACCCUGCCACCCUCUGCACACCUUUAACUGGAGGACUGAGUCACAGAUAAUUGUUUCCUUGAAGUCCAGGCCCAGCUGCAGCAACAACAGUCAUUAGCCCGUGUCACAUCCCUGAUCAGAGGGCAUCUCCGUGGGGAAUCGCCUCCACCCAGCACUGCUGGAAGCCGCAGCUGCCAGGGAGUGGGGCGGCCGGUUCCCUCAGCAGGACCUGGGCUGGCCUCUCCACCUCCUCUAGUAGAGGCGGACCCAUUCCAUCUAGUGGCCACCGAGGGAGCCCCAGUGGCACCAGUGACGGGCAGAGGGGACUUGCCAUUGCCCCCUCCACCCACCCCCACGACCCCACUCCUGGAUCCUUCACCCCAGUGGCCUGCAGACCUCAGCUUCUCCCUCUGAACUUCAAGUCUCCAAAGAUCAGAAUCUGGGGGAGGGAGCGCGUGCAGGGAGGGGCUUGAUCUCCACAUUUUCUCAGGAGUAGUUUGGGCAUCCCCAUAUCUUCUCCUCUCCCCUUGUGAAGAGGACCCAGAUCUGGCUUCUUUCCCAAGGAGGGGGUGGGGUGUUCCUCGCGUCCCUGUCCUUGAAGGACCUCCUUCCCCCAGCCUCAUCACCGUGCUCUUCUCAGCGCCACCCUCAGCAGCCAGAUUGGAACACCAGGGAGAGGCGGAUGCAGAGCCCCACCGGUGGGAAAGUUGCCUGUGGAAGGGAGCCUUUUGCUACAAUUUGUAACUUAUUUUCUAAAGUCUAUUUUGUAACAAUUUAUUUAAGUUUAAAAAAAGGAAAACUGCUGCCCCCCAAAAAAAGAAAUUUUCAAAACAA